RNAcentral lists this ribosomal RNA (468 nucleotides) under uncultured bacterium. RNAcentral's name for it is "partial 16S ribosomal RNA". It matches the Rfam family "Bacterial small subunit ribosomal RNA", at positions 28 to 507 of the family's 1533-position model. The record is from RNAcentral.
GACGAACGCUGGCGGCGUGCUUAACACAUGCAAGUCGAACGGAAAGGCCCUGCUUUUGUGGGGUGCUCGAGUGGCGAACGGGUGAGUAACACGUGAGUAACCUGCCCUUGACUUUGGGAUAACUUCAGGAAACUGGGGCUAAUACCGGAUAGGAGCUCCUGCUGCAUGGUGGGGGUUGGAAAGUUUCGGCGGUUGGGGAUGGACUCGCGGCUUAUCAGCUUGUUGGUGGGGUAGUGGCUUACCAAGGCUUUGACGGGUAGCCGGCCUGAGAGGGUGACCGGCCACAAUGGUACUGAGAGACGGCCCAGACGCCUACGGGAGGCAGCAGUGGGGAAUAUUGCACAAUGGGCGGAAGCCUGAUGCAGCAACGCCGCGUGCGGGAUGACGGCCUUCGGGUUGUAAACCGCUUUCGCCUGUGACGAAGCGUGAGUGACGGUAAUGGGUAAAGAAGCACCGGCUAACUACGUG